UACAGAGGUCUCAACCGUUGUUCGGAUUCAUUGGGCGUAAAGGGUGCGUAGGCGGCGGGGUAAGUCAGGUGUGAAAUCUCGGGGCUCAACCCCGAAACUGCACUUGAUACUGCCUCGCUUGAGUACUGGAGAGGAGACUGGAAUUUACGGUGUAGCAGUGAAAUGCGUAGAUAUCGUAAGGAAGACCAGCGGCGAAGACGAGUUCCUGGACAGUUACUGACGCUGAGGCACGAAGGCCAGGGGAGCAAACGGG
This 253-nucleotide ribosomal RNA is filed under the name uncultured bacterium. RNAcentral describes it as "partial 16S ribosomal RNA". It matches the Rfam family "Bacterial small subunit ribosomal RNA", at positions 524 to 776 of the family's 1533-position model. The record is from RNAcentral.